CCUACGGGAGGCAGCAGUGAGGAAUAUUGGUCAAUGGACGAGAGUCUGAACCAGCAAAGCCGCGUGAAGGAUGACUGCCCUAUGGGUUGUAAACUUCUUUUAUAUGGGAAUAAAAUGUUCCACGUGUGGGAUUUUGUCUGUACCAUCUGAGUAAGGACCGGCUAACUCCGUGCCAGCAGCCGCGGUAAUACGGAGGUUCCGAGCGUUAUCCGGAGUUAUUGGGGUUAAAGGGAGCGUAGGUGGAUUGUUAAGUCAGUUGUGAAAGUUUGCGGCUCAACCGUUAAAUUGCAGUUGAAACUGGCAGUCUUGAGUACAGUAGAGGUGGGCGGAAUUCGGGGUGUAGCGGUGAAAUGCGUAGAUAUCACGAAGAACUCCGAUUGCGAAGGCAGUUCACUGGACUGCAACUGACACUGAGGCUCGAAAGUGUGGGUAUCAAACAGGAUUAGAUACCCGGGUAGUC
This 460-nucleotide ribosomal RNA is filed under the name uncultured bacterium. Its description in RNAcentral is "partial 16S ribosomal RNA". It matches the Rfam family "Bacterial small subunit ribosomal RNA", at positions 338 to 795 of the family's 1533-position model. The record is from RNAcentral.